AUUGAACGCUGGCGGCAGGCUUAACACAUGCAAGUCGAGCGGUAGCACAAGAGAGCUUGCUCUCUGGGUGACGAGCGGCGGACGGGUGAGUAAUGUCUGGGAAACUGCCUGAUGGAGGGGGAUAACUACUGGAAACGGUAGCUAAUACCGCAUAAUGUCGCAAGACCAAAGAGGGGGACCUUCGGGCCUCUUGCCAUCAGAUGUGCCCAGAUGGGAUUAGCUAGUAGGUGGGGUAAUGGCUCACCUAGGCGACGAUCCCUAGCUGGUCUGAGAGGAUGACCAGCCACACUGGAACUGAGACACGGUCCAGACUCCUACGGGAGCAGCAGUGGGGAAUAUUGCACAAUGGGCGCAAGCCUGAUGCAGCCAUGCCGCGUGUGUGAAGAAGGCCUUCGGGUUGUAAAAGCAACUUUCAGCGAGGAGGAAGGUGGUGAGCUUAAUACGUUCAUCAAUUUGACGUUUACUCGC
RNAcentral lists this ribosomal RNA (468 nucleotides) under uncultured bacterium. RNAcentral describes it as "bacterial SSU rRNA". It matches the Rfam family "Bacterial small subunit ribosomal RNA", at positions 30 to 482 of the family's 1533-position model. The record is from RNAcentral.